AAAGCCGCGAGGCAGAGCAAAACCCUAAAAGUCGUCUCAGUUCGGAUUGCAGGCUGCAACUCGCCUGCAUGAAGUCGGAAUUGCUAGUAAUCGCAGAUCAGCAUGCUGCGGUGAAUACGUUCCCGGGCCUUGUACACACCGCCCGUCACACCAUGGGAGUCGGUAACACCCGAAGUCGGUAGUCUAACCGAAAGGAGGACGCCGCCGAAGGUGGGAUUGAUGACUGGGGUGAAGUCGUAACAAGGUAGC
This 249-nucleotide ribosomal RNA is filed under the name uncultured bacterium. RNAcentral's name for it is "partial 16S ribosomal RNA". It matches the Rfam family "Bacterial small subunit ribosomal RNA", at positions 1251 to 1500 of the family's 1533-position model. The record is from RNAcentral.